Molecule: ribosomal RNA, 210 nt
Filed under: uncultured bacterium
Lineage: Bacteria
Description: partial 16S ribosomal RNA
Rfam family: Bacterial small subunit ribosomal RNA
Source: RNAcentral
UCGGAUUGUAGUCUGCAACCCGACUACAUGAAGCUGGAAUCGCUAGUAAUCGCGGAUCAGAAUGCCGCGGUGAAUACGUUCCCGGGUCUUGUACACACCGCCCGUCACACCAUGGGAGUCGGAAAUGCCCGAAGUCUGUGACCCAACCUGAGAGGGAGGGAGCAGCCGAAGGCAGGUCUGAUGACUGGGGUGAAGUCGUAACAAGGUAGC